RNAcentral lists this ribosomal RNA (274 nucleotides) under uncultured bacterium. RNAcentral's name for it is "partial 16S ribosomal RNA". It matches the Rfam family "Bacterial small subunit ribosomal RNA", at positions 523 to 796 of the family's 1533-position model. The record is from RNAcentral.
AUGCAGAGGUGGCAAGCGUUGCUCGGAUUUAUUGGGUGUAAAGGGCAGGUAGGCGGUCGCAUAAGUCUGUUGUGAAAUCCCAGGGCUCAACCCUGGAACUGCGAUAGAUACUGUGCGACUUGAGUGUUAGAGAGGUGAGGGGAAUUCCUGGUGUAAGGGUGAAAUCUGUAGAGAUCAGGAGGAGCACCGAUGGCGAAGGCACCUCACUGGCUGACAACUGACGCUGAACUGCGAAAGCUAGGGGAGCAAACAGGAUUAGAUACCCCAGUAGUCC